CCUACGGGAGGCUGCAGUGAGGAAUAUUGGUCAAUGGGCGGAAGCCUGAACCAGCCAAGUAGCGUGCGGGAUGACGGCCCUAUGGGUCGUAAACUGCUUUUGCACGGGGAUAAAAUGCUCCACGUGUGGUGGUCUGCAGGUACCGUAUGAAUAAGGGCCGGCUAAUUCCGUGCCAGCAGCCGCGGUAAUACGGAAGGUCCGAGCGUUAUCCGGAUUUAUUGGGUUUAAAGGGAGCGUAGAUGGCUUGUUAAGGGUGACGUGAAAUUCUGUGGCUCAACCAUGGAAUUGCGGUUGAUACUGGCAGGCUUGAGUACGCGGAACGUAGGCGGAAGUCGUGGUGUAGCGGUGAAAUGCUUAGAUAUCACGAAGAACUCCGAUUGCGAAGGCAGCCUACGGAAGCGCCACUGACGCUGAAGCUCGAAGGUGUGGGUAUCAAACAGGAUUAGAUACCCUUGUAGUC
RNAcentral lists this ribosomal RNA (460 nucleotides) under uncultured bacterium. RNAcentral describes it as "partial 16S ribosomal RNA". It matches the Rfam family "Bacterial small subunit ribosomal RNA", at positions 338 to 795 of the family's 1533-position model. The record is from RNAcentral.